AGCGGCGGACGGGUGAGUAAGCGUAGGAUCUACCCAGUAGUGGGGGACAACUCGGGGAAAUCUGAGCUAAACCGCAUACGCCCUAAGGGGGAAAGCAGGGGAUCUUCGGACCUUGCGCUAUCGGAUGAGCCUGCGUCGGAUUAGCUUGUUGGUGAGGUAAUGGCUCACCAAGGAUACGAUCCGUAGCUGGUCUGAGAGGAUGAUCAGCCACACUGGGACUGAGACACGGCCCAGACUCCUACGGGAGGCAGCAGUGGGGAAUAUUGGACAAUGGGGGAAACCCUGAUCCAGCCAUGCCGCGUGUGUGAAGAAGGCUCUAGGGUUGUAAAGCACUUUCAGUAGGGAGGAAAAGUUGAUAGCUAAUAACUGUCAGCCCUGACGUUACCUACAGAAGAAGCACCGGCAAACUCCGUGCCAGCAGCCGCGGUAAUACGGAGGGUGCGAGCGUUAAUCGGAAUUACUGGGCGUAAAGCGCGCGUAGGCGGUUUGAUAAGCUGGAUGUGAAAGCCCCGGGCUCAACCUGGGAACUGCAUCCAGAACUGUCUGAAU
Molecule: ribosomal RNA, 549 nt
Filed under: uncultured bacterium
Lineage: Bacteria
Description: bacterial SSU rRNA
Rfam family: Bacterial small subunit ribosomal RNA
Source: RNAcentral